Molecule: long non-coding RNA, 485 nt
Filed under: Musa acuminata (dwarf banana)
Lineage: Eukaryota; Viridiplantae; Streptophyta; Magnoliopsida; Zingiberales; Musaceae
Description: long non-coding RNA (MACU_LNC002426)
Source: RNAcentral
GAGAGAGAGAGAGAGAGAGAGAGAGAGAGAGAGAGUUACAACAAGAGUUGGCACCAUGACUCUGGUAUGCCUUGGCCAUCUUGCCAAGAAGUCAAUGGAGUAUUAGAAGGCCGUGAGAACUGAGGGCAGACCGAAGAAGACGACGAGGACCGAGAAGAAGAAGAAGAAGAAGAAGAAGAAGAAGAAGAAGAAGAAGAAGAAGAAGAGGGCCGAGGAGGUGGUCUCAUGUCACCGUUCGUGGUCCACCACCAGGUUGGUUUUCCUUCCACCAUCUGCUGCACCAUGGAACUCUGAAACACUCCUCUUCUCAUGCCUGCAUGUUGUUUCUCCUCCAUCUCUCUUUAUACUUCCACACCCUUUAUUUGUUGACACUGCAAGUCAAUUCUAAUUCGAAGCCUUUCUUUCUGUUCUGAUAACGAAGAGAAAAGAAUGAGAACACAAGCAUGCUCGGAGAAACCUAAAUAAAUACUCACUGAAGCCUCUUG